GGGCAACCUUGCCUAAAACAAGGCAUUCUUUGCUAAUAAUUUCCUUUUUCCAUUCUCUCUUUGCCUUUAACACCCUUUUCUUUCCUAUAGCUUAAUUAACUUCCUUUCUAUUUUCUAGAUGAGAUGCUAUCUGACUCAUGAAUCAUUGAAGCCACUUUGAUCUCUAAAUUUAUUCAGCUGAAUUUUUGUUACGUAACAGAUUUGCUGGCAGAGACCAGACCAAAGGAUACUUCUGACAGCACCGGGGAUACCAAGAAACAGGUGUGGGUGGCAUUUUGCGAACACUGAAUUUACAGUCUUUCUUGCCAUUUCCAAGGGCCAUGGUAACCUGUCUGUCCUCCUCGAAAUACUACUGAGGUAAAGGCGUGGUGAUGGAGAUCUGGGGUUGACGCAUGUAUUCACCUGGCAUCCAGAGCGAACUCCGUCUCCUCCCGCGCACACCAUGGUUUUCUUCACGGUGGAGCCCCAGUAGGAGGAGCUGGAGCAGGUGGCGUAGUCCACAGUGGGCAGAGUCAGAAACAGCUAUAGAGGCACCUGGGUGGCUCAGUUGCUUAAGCAUCUAUCUUCAGCUCAGUCAUGAUCCUGGGGUCCUGGCAUCAAGUCCUGCAUCAGGCUCCCUGCUCAGCGAGGAAUCUGCUUCUCCCUCUGCCCCUCCCCCACAUUUGUG
Molecule: long non-coding RNA, 667 nt
Organism: Mustela lutreola (European mink)
Lineage: Eukaryota; Metazoa; Chordata; Mammalia; Carnivora; Mustelidae
Exons: 4
Source: RefSeq, a predicted model, not a curated record